AUGGCAAGAAGACUGACCGCCAGGUGGAUCUUCCAGGGAGCGGCGCCUCGGGAGCUCCUGCCCAGGCGGCAGCGGGCAAGGAGAAGGGUCCGGCCAGAAGAAGCCGCCCCGCUCAGCGAGCUUCCUAGGCAGGUCCUGCGGCGGCGGCUGGGCCUGGCGACCCGCUUUCCCUUCCGCCAGUGUCCCGCCCCCUCCCCGCCACAGACUCUCCAGGGAUGGGGACGCCGCCGCUCUUGGGAAUUCCGGUCCAGGGAGCUCCGCGCCAGGGCCAGAUCCAACCGGUCACGCGCCCCUCAGGUGCUCCCGACGGCGGCGACACAGCAAGCCCUCUCCAGGGUGCUGAACGCGCAGGCGGCGGCGGCGGCUUCCGGCAGGCCUCCCCCUCUCUCUCCCUCCCUCCCUCCGCCCGUCCUUACCGCGCUCGAGGCUCCGGCGCAGCGUUUCCCGCUCUUGCUCGGUGCCGACCUCACCGAUCACGGAGUAAAUGGCAUCAUAGAGAAUUGAUGCUUAGAAGGAAGGCAGCUCCUGCCCAGCUCUGCUUCUUUUAGUUUUGGAAUACCAACAUUUAUUGCAGGAGAAACCAACUAUAGAACAAAAAUGUCAUCUCUUAACAGGUAAAGAACAUUCUGUUUAUUUAAAGAAACAGACUAACUUUUCUUCUUUCUCCUUCAGGUGUUUUGUUUAAAGGGAACAGGUUGCAGACUGGUCUCCGGAGCAGGGUGGGCAAGGCUUCUUCCUAGGAUGCAAAACACAUCUCUGAUGACAAAACCAGAGGUAGCUCUUCUCCUCCCCAUGUAGCACCUCAGCAUUUUAAAAUGUGACACAGUAGAGAGGGGCAAUCAUCUGGUCCCUCUGGCUCAGAAACUGGCAAUUAUGUAGGAAGAGCCUUGCUGCUGGAUCAGGCCAAAGGCCCUCCUAAUCCAACGUCCUGUUUUCACAAUAACCGACCAGUUGCCCCAAUGGGAAGCCCACAAGCAGAACUUGAGGGUAACAGGACUCUUCCCACUUGUAAUUCCCAGCAAUUGGUAUAAAAAAUCAUAUAGAAGAGCAUUACAAAGCAUAAAAAAUAACAAGUCUUGCUGAAGAUGAAUCAGCAUGGCUUCUCCAUGCACACGAAAGCUUAUACCCAGAACAAAUUUAGUUGGUCUCUAAUUUUUUUAUUUUUUACAUAUAUUUCGACUGCGUCAGACCAACAUGGCUACCUACCUGAAUUAUUAACCUUCCAGAGUGUCAAUAACUACAUUUUUGAUUAUGUGAUUGACACUCUAAAGGUGUUAUCUGGUAGACAUUGUGUACUUGGAAGAAAUGGGAUUCCCCAGAUAUCUGUACUGGGACCCGUGCUAUUUAAUUGCUUCAUAAGUGAUACGGAGUCAGGAUGAACAUUGAGGUAGUCAAAUAUGCUGAUGACACCUAGUUAUUCAGGAUGUUAAAAGGCAAAACGGGAUAGUAAAGAGCUCCAAAUGGAUAUUUUCAAUCUGGGUGAAGGGGCAUUAAAUUUGCAACACUGCUUCAGUGUAAGCAAAUGUAAAAUGAUGCACAUGGGUAAAAAAUCCUAUCUUUACAUCUAUAUAUUUUGGAAAGUUGACUGUUUGCUAUGUGUUUGGACACCUCUUAAGAUAUCAUGACCAAAUUAUUUGUUCCUGAGAUGGAGGUUUUUGUCUAUGUUUGGAUACAACUGGAUGCCAUUUGGAUUCAAGAUUUAAAUAGCACUAAUUUGAUGGGCAUGGUUUGAGGAAAAAGGCCUUGUGACCAAAAGUAGAAUCCCUGCCAGGUCUAAUUUGGCCUGGAGGAUCAGAGACUCCCCUGCCAGCUCUGUCAUGUCCCGUCUUACCAAACUAAAAAGUCCCAAAUGUUGUAACCUUCUUCUUGCAGGGGAGUUGCUUCUGCCUCCGAAAUUGUUGCUUGCCACGUUGUGAUCCUGUACCAGAUCUACACCAUCCUGUUCCAAAUAUCCCAUGUAUGGAAUUAUGACCCCAUAGAGAAGGGCUGGAAGGAAACAUGAAAGACUCAGAGGGUUGCAGCAGCUCCACCUUUGUGGCAGGGGCACCCCUCAUGGGUGUAGCCAGGGGGGUGCAGCUGCCCUUCCCCAAAUCAAGUGAAUAAAUAAAAAUACUUAACUGACCAUCACAGAUAACUCAGUUCUGCCCCCCACGCAACAUAAUGCCUGCCUCCCUCCAAAAUAAAUCCUGGCUACGCCCAUUGCAGCCCUCCUUCCUCUGUGGGUGCUGCUGUGCCCUUGCACAAAGACAGUUCUAGGAGUGUGCCCUUGCUAUCUCAGGUGUGCGGUCAGGCGGAUAGUGCCAAGCGUGUUUCCAUCAAAAUCCCCCUUCGUCAUCUGUGCCAUCUUUGACAAUCCACCUGGUGGAGCUGCAUCUAUUAUAUUAUCAUCGUUCCCUGUUCUAAAGGUGACCGGGCACACGUGACCCUCGGUUUGGGGAGAUUGUGCACUGCUGCCUCCUGGCGUGCGCUGCUGGCGACCGGGCCUUCAGCGCCAGCUUGGACUCCCAUCAGCGUCACCACGCGCGACCACGGACCAUUCUCUUGCUUAUUUAUAUUCAGGCCUGGCAUUGGAAGCGGGGAGGUGGAGCUUUCCGCGAGCCCCGCCCCCUCCCUGGCCUUGGCCGGGGCAUGUGGCGCCGCGUUGUCACGGCAACCCCCGCGCAGCGCGAAACGCGUGGGGGCGGGGCCUGCAGCGUGGCCGGCCGGAGCCGCCGCGCGAACGCCCGAGGGGGCGGGGCAAGGCGUUCUUCUCGCGCGUGCGCUCGCUCCCCGCCUUUUUUUUUUUUGCUUGUGCGCGCGCGCUCGUCUCUGUGUCUGUUGGGGGAGGAUUCGCAGCUCCCGCGACCCUCCGUCCUCCCCUCCGAGAGGCCU
Molecule: long non-coding RNA, 2871 nt
Organism: Podarcis muralis (Common wall lizard)
Lineage: Eukaryota; Metazoa; Chordata; Lepidosauria; Squamata; Lacertidae
Source: Ensembl